UCCUACGGGAGGCAGCAGUGGGGAAUAUUGGACAAUGGGGGCAACCCUGAUCCAGCCAUGCCGCGUGAGUGAUGAAGGCCCUAGGGUUGUAAAGCUCUUUUGUGCGGGAAGAUAAUGACGGUACCGCAAGAAUAAGCCCCGGCUAACUUCGUGCCAGCAGCCGCGGUAAUACGAAGGGGGCUAGCGUUGCUCGGAAUCACUGGGCGUAAAGGGUGCGUAGGCGGGUUUCUAAGUCAGAGGUGAAAGCCUGGAGCUCAACUCCAGAACUGCCUUUGAUACUGGAAGUCUUGAGUAUGGCAGAGGUGAGUGGAACUGCGAGUGUAGAGGUGAAAUCCGUAGAUAUUCGCAAGAACACCAGUGGCGAAGGCGGCUCACUGGGCCAUUACUGACGCUGAGACACGAAAGCGUGGGGAGCAAACAGGAUUAGAUACCCUGGUAGUCCACGCCCUAAACGAUGUCAACUGGUUGUUGGGAAUUUACUUUCUCAGUAACGAAGCUAACGCGUGAAGUUGACCGCCUGGGGAGUACGGUCGCAAGAUUAAAACUCAAAGGA
RNAcentral lists this ribosomal RNA (553 nucleotides) under Rhodopseudomonas palustris. RNAcentral's name for it is "bacterial SSU rRNA". It matches the Rfam family "Bacterial small subunit ribosomal RNA", at positions 337 to 908 of the family's 1533-position model. The record is from RNAcentral. Lineage: Bacteria; Pseudomonadati; Pseudomonadota; Alphaproteobacteria; Hyphomicrobiales; Nitrobacteraceae.